UAUCCGGGCUGGCUCCUCUCCUUCCUCUCUCCCUCCGCGCCGCCUCCUCUCCUCUUCGUGCGCGGCGGCGUCUCGUCAUCCCCAGCCCCCACCUCCCCAACCCCUUGCUCCCGCACGAACCCUAUCAGAGAGAGAGAAGAUGAGAGGGAGAGAGAAGGAAGGAGAGGAGAGGCGGGAGAAAGAGAGAGGAAAGAGGAGAGGGAGGUGUGGCAGCUGACAGGAGAGGGUCACCGGCCAGCGUCGGCCUGCGCUGGCGAGGUCGGGCACGACCUGGCGGUUGGCGGCGGCUCGACCCGUUCCUAAAUCAGGAGCUGCGAGGAGGCCGGGGCUGGGGCGCGAUGCACGGGAGGCUCCACCCCGCCUCCAUCUCUACGCGUGCAGCGGCGACCCCGGAGGAGCUCAAGCCACAUCCGUGGUCCACGUCGCCGUCGUCGGCAGGAGGAGCGUGGGUCGCAGAGAUGGCCGGCUCAGUCCAGCUUUCGCGUUGCCGUCCAUCCACCCGAGACACCAGUCCCCGCGUCCUGGCCUGAAAGGUGGAUCAAAUAUGAAAUACGUGAACGUUCCAUAGUGUGAAAAGCAAGCCAUGGUCUUGUUAAAGUUCCGUUGAAUUUCUGUGAUACCUAAGAAGUAUUAAUGCUCAUAUUUUUGCAAUUUGCUCUCCACAACUUUCAGUCACUGGUUCUUGAGGAAAGCAGGGAACUAUGAGACUUGCACAGUUUGGGCAGCGUCAGCACAACAGGCAGAGUUUCUGUUCAAGUAGUAGCAGACCAGCAAAGCGCGGACGAGGAGAUCCAGGUCACGGGCCAUCCCCAUUUAGGUAAGCCUGUCUUUCAUGUGCGGUUUUGUUUGAUGAUUUUUUUGAGGGCUUCUUUGAUGAAUUACUCAUAUGUGAGAACAUUGUAGGCCAUGCACACAUCGAGUGAACAGAUUCAGUUUUCUUUUUUUAUCGCUUAGUAGUGCUCAUUGAAUCUUCAGGUAUGAAUAUCGUUGCAAUUAGCAAGCAACCCUGAUGGCAGAAGCUAGCUACAUGCCUAGAUUGAUGCGUUCCGGUACUAUUCUAUGCAGAUUCUUCACUACUAAUUGUUUUUCCGUUGUUAGCCGUAUUCAAUCAAUACGGUUUGGUGUACUAUUUUUAGCUUCAUAGAUGUGAGCACGCCUCUUCAUUGUUCUUAGAAUGUUCAGAAGCGGUGCUCCCUUUAGCCCUCUUCACUGCUUAGCACCAGUUUUCGCUAGAGUAACUUCUUUUUUCCAAUCACGAGUUUGCAUGUUAGCAUGAUGUGCUUAAUAAGACAGUCCUACACAAGCUCGAUGUCUGUUAGAUGAAUUUUCUUGAUGCAGUGGCAUGCACUUUAGUGACCUAUAAUUUUAAGUUCCUAACUAUGCUACAAAUUUUACCUUUCCUGUUAAAGGUCUGCCACAGAAUCAGGUUGUAUUUGUGUUCAUUGGUGUGGAUUUACAACUCCAUCGUCAACCAUUGUUGCUGGUAUCGUCACUUUUUUAGAACCAAAGAAAUAUUGCUUUUCAACUCAGAUGUGUGUUAGGUGAUGUUGCAUGCCAUUUUUGUUCAUCGGCCUGACAUGAUUUGGAUUGGUGCAGAGGUCGGUGUGAAUGAAAAGCUAGCUUCUGAAGACGCAGUCGAUUAUUAUUGCCUAUUUUUCUAUUGAAAGGUGUUGCUUCUUUUAUCUUGACAGUCGACGUCUGCUGGACCUGCCAGUUCUCAGGUGGAAGGUGGUGACUAGCAGCGCGCACGUGGACAAUGAUUGGGAUGGUGCUAUUACCCGUGCACAGGACUGCCUAAUGUCUAUUCUGGGAAUGGUUAUUUCCCUGCUCUUGCAGACAAAUCACCUGAUUUGAACUGUGUACGAGAUAAAGUUAUGCAAGCUUCUGCGUGCUCGGAGUCCCCGCUCUCAUGUUGUUGGAGCAGUGACAUACAUGUGGCGGCUAUCCUCAAUAGGGAGUAGCAAAUUGGAGGCCAAAGAAGAAAAUUUGUUCAAUUCUGAAACUAAAUUUAGUGAAGGAGGCCGAAGUUCAUUACAACGCCAAUAUGGAUCCAUCCUAUUGCGUUGGGUGAAGGUCUAGAUGCAAUAAAAAUUGCACGUAGCAAACAUGUGCUUCCUCUAUAUCUGUACAAUCAGAGUUCUCGCUUUUCUUUGUGUGAUCUUUGUUUAUCCUUUUUGUUGUUUUUAUGUUGCCUACAUUCAGUCGACUUCAAGUUAACCUGUCCAUUUAUUUUUAUUCAGAUAGUUCAGAUGUCUAACGUUUAUAGCAUACACAUCAGUCUAGGGUUAACAAUAGUAGAAUAAAUCUUUCCAUAUAUCAUGAUUCAUAUGUGAGUCUCCCUGUCUGAGUAUAACCAUGAGUUGACAUGCUAUUAUUAACAAGAAGAUAUAAAUCAAUUUUGUUGUUUCAUCGUUGAAAGAUCAUUAGUAAUUUAUCAGAGUCUAUUCUGUCGUUUCAUGAUUUUAACAUAAAGUUAGUAGUUUGCCAGUUCUUAAAUUCUACCGAGGGACACCCAUCUACUUAAUAAGAGUAUCUUGACACUCCACAUUAUCUGAAAGGAAAAGCUUAUCAGCUGUUAAUUUGCUUAAUUUAUCUUAUGCAAGUCAGGGCUUACUUAUUUAUGACAAUUAUAAAAAACAAUUUUCUUACAUGUAGUAACAAUAACCUUACUCUUUUAUCACCAUUCAAUGUGUGGCCUCACACUGCAGAUGCAAUAUUCCGGUGUUCUGAAGUCAUGGGAUGCAACGCUAUGCAAUCUCUUAACAGUAUAUUGCACCCAGUUAGCAAAAUGAUCUACAUUCGGAACAAACUCUUGGAGACAGUAGAUAAAUGCAAAUGUCCCCCAGCACCAGAGGCGAUCCUUUCUAUGGAGAAACACCAUAUACGUACAUAAUUUUGUGCUUGGAUUCUGGAAACGACCAAGGAUAAGCAACUCAAGUGAAAGACUGCCUUGGGAUGAUACAAUCAAUCCAACUGUUACCUUUAGGAUGCUUUUUGGAUGGACUAAUCUGAAGAUGCUGGCUAGCUUACACCGCCAUCAUACAGUCUAGAAGUACAGGGAAAAUAAAGGUGCAAUGAGCCCAAUAUAUUUUACUUUUUGGCAAAGUUUUGGUGCUUGCCCAAGAAAGUAACACCUAUUAAACCUACUAAUCCUUUUUCCCAGGCAAUUCGCCAUCUGGAGAAAUACCAACUAAUACAUUUUUGUACUUUCUUUGUUGCAGAGGUUGCUCUUGUAGAGAAAACAUAGUAAACUCAGAUGAUUGGAUUAGAAAAUACUCUUCAGCAUCUGAAACAUCUAAAGGCGGUCACUCAACUAAGUAUCUUAUACAAUAUACCCAGCUGGAUGAUUGGAGUAGUACCAGCCGCUAUGUAUCACUCAGAUGAUUAGUGCUCCUGCGUUGAACCACUCAGCUAAGUAUCAACACUGCCCUCGAGACUUGGCUAUUAGCAUAGUAGCAACGAGCUCACAAAAAAAAUCUACAGAUUCAUCAAACACCAAGGAGAUAGUUCUUACCUGAGCGGCAAUAGCGGCUACCAUAGUCUUCCUGGAGCAUCCCUUCCCAUGAAAAGUUACCGGCUUCAGGGAGUGCCAGCACAGCCAAAUCACCGGUACGAGCAACAGCGGCACCAUUUGCCGGUUCUGCGGCUCCAAGCUACAGCAGUAGCUGCCGGGCCACCAAGAAGCAGAUGGAGCCGCAACACCUGCGGCCAAGCUGCGGCGUCAGCCGCCAAGAUGGAGCCCGAAAUGUCGCCGUCCGCCUCCACCAGGUGCUUUCUCACUUAGGUACGAGUAGAAUGGGGAAAGGAACGGGAUGAGGACGAUGAACUGGUGGUGGAUGGAACAAGACCAACAGUCGACCACGUGGUGACCUGUUGUGUUACAUGUGUGACGCGUGUGUAUAGGUGUCCAUAGUGUGGGGUUCUUUGUCCCAAUGGCACAGUUGUAAUUUUGUUUUUCUUGCUAAUUUGUACUGCAUGUACUGUCAUGAUCUACACCGUUUCAUGCAAUCUACUCCUACUUAUCUUAAACUUCCAUUUAGCUUGUAUCA
Molecule: long non-coding RNA, 4049 nt
Organism: Triticum aestivum (bread wheat)
Lineage: Eukaryota; Viridiplantae; Streptophyta; Magnoliopsida; Poales; Poaceae
Exons: 11
Source: RefSeq, a predicted model, not a curated record